CGGCGGACGGGUGAGUAACGCGUGGGUGACCUGCCUCAUACAGGGGGAUAACAGUUGGAAACGGCUGCUAAUACCGCAUAAGCGCACAGUACCGCAUGGUACGGUGUGAAAAACUCCGGUGGUAUGAGAUGGACCCGCGUCUGAUUAGGUAGUUGGUGGGGUAACGGCCUACCAAGCCGACGAUCAGUAGCCGACCUGAGAGGGUGACCGGCCACAUUGGGACUGAGACACGGCCCAA
Molecule: ribosomal RNA, 238 nt
Filed under: uncultured bacterium
Lineage: Bacteria
Description: partial 16S ribosomal RNA
Rfam family: Bacterial small subunit ribosomal RNA
Source: RNAcentral